Long non-coding RNA from Cyprinus carpio carpio, 567 nucleotides. Lineage: Eukaryota; Metazoa; Chordata; Actinopteri; Cypriniformes; Cyprinidae. The record is from Ensembl.
UCAUGACAGAAUAAUGUUGAUAAUUACAUCAACUUAAUAAUGUAUGGAAUUUAAACAUAUAUAUAUGUGUUGAUUAGUUUAAAACAAUAUUUAUGUUGUAGCAACCCAAUGAAAUUGGCUUGAUAACUUAAUUUUUCCACACCAUUUGAGUUCAGGAUUUCAAAGCUCCUCCCCCACUUAACGAGCAAGGAGCAAGUUCAGACAUGUUUCAGGCUGACCAGUAUGACACAAAGGACAUUUCAAGAAGCCGAAAACAUACUCCUCACUCAUUGAUGGACUUCAAGGAAGACAUAAUAAAAAGAACACACAAGAGUUUGAGGAAGACAUUGAAAGGCAAGUGAUGACAAUUGCCUUCAUCGGUGAUCAACCUACUUCAGGAUUUGACCACAAGACGGCAACCAUUGUGGUUGAGGGCAUCAAAAUCCUGAAUGGAAUGGAUAUCUCAAGGUGCUGUGCUCUGCUGAUGGGCAUAAUAUAUGCUCUGAAUCUGAGUUACCCCAAGGAACUUAAAUAUACCUGUGAAGUGUUUCAGAAGCUGUUUCUUGAACUUGAUGGACUGAAACCCAG